GGAUGUAAAGGCGAUCUGGUGACAAUAUCUGUCACCCUGUUNAUCACCAGGGUUGAUUUGACUGCCUAAGCAGAUGUCCCCUUCCUUCAUUGCUGCUCCAUGUANGUCUCAGCUGAAGCUGUGCAUUCAAUGGAAGGGGAUGACCAGCUCAGGAAAGAGUGCACCAUUCCUCUGUCAAAGGUGUAUGAUCGCUGCAGUCCCUACUAAAACCUCAAAACAAGUUCAAGUGUUAUAAAGAGUAACGGUGAUUCAAACAUAAAAAGAGGCCUGGUUGAUAUUU
RNAcentral lists this small nuclear RNA (280 nucleotides) under Salvator merianae (Argentine black and white tegu). RNAcentral describes it as "7SK RNA (ENSSMRG00000007048.1)". It matches the Rfam family "7SK RNA". From Rfam's summary of the family: 7SK was discovered as an abundant small nuclear RNA in the mid-70s but a possible function has only recently been suggested. Two independent studies have found that 7SK RNA binds the CDK9/cyclin T complex (known as elongation factor P-TEFb). The record is from RNAcentral. Lineage: Eukaryota; Metazoa; Chordata; Lepidosauria; Squamata; Teiidae.